RNAcentral lists this ribosomal RNA (605 nucleotides) under Pseudomonas synxantha. RNAcentral describes it as "bacterial SSU rRNA". The record is from RNAcentral. Lineage: Bacteria; Pseudomonadati; Pseudomonadota; Gammaproteobacteria; Pseudomonadales; Pseudomonadaceae.
AGUCGAGCGGUAGAGAGAAGCUUGCUUCUCUUGAGAGCGGCGGACGGGUGAGUMAUGCCUAGGAAUCUGCCUGGUAGUGGGGGAUAACGUUCGGAAACGGACGCUAAUACCGCAUACGUCCUACGGGAGAAAGCAGGGGACCUUCGGGCCUUGCGCUAUCAGAUGAGCCUAGGUCGGAUUAGCUAGUUGGUGRGGUAAUGGCUCACCAAGGCGACGAUCCGUAACUGGUCUGAGAGGAUGAUCAGUCACACUGGAACUGAGACACGGUCCAGACUCCUACGGGAGGCAGCAGUGGGGAAUAUUGGACAAUGGGCGAAAGCCUGAUCCAGCCAUGCCGCGUGUGUGAAGAAGGUCUUCGGAUUGUAAAGCACUUUAAGUUGGGAGGAAGGGUUGUAGAUUAAUACUCUGCAAUUUUGACGUUACCGACAGAAUAAGCACCGGCUAACUCUGUGCCAGCAGCCGCGGUAAUACAGAGGGUGCAAGCGUUAAUCGGAAUUACUGGGCGUAAAGCGCGCGUAGGUGGUUUGUUAAGUUGGAUGUGAAAUCCCCGGGCUCAACCUGGGAACUGCAUUCAAAACUGACUGACUAGAGUAUGGUAGAGGGUG